This is a non-coding RNA of Xyrichtys novacula (pearly razorfish), 2400 nucleotides long. NCBI's taxonomy places the organism in Eukaryota, Metazoa, Chordata, Actinopteri, Labriformes, Labridae. The record is from the annotation of a GenBank genome assembly.
GGCUCUUCCACCUGCUCUUUUCCAGCUCCACCCUCUCCUCUAAAUUUGGCUGAAGUUAAAUUAUUAGGAAUAUUGGGCUGUUUGUUAAUUCUGCAUUAGUUAGUCUCCAGCUCCUCAGCAGCAUCUCCUCUCCUCCUCUAAUAAAAGCCUCCGGCAUCCUGCUCUGCAUUUAAGUCAAUGACAACAAAUCCCUCGCUCUGCUCCAGCUCCUCCUCUCGCACUGGCGACUAAAAAGAACAAAAAAGCUUCAAUUAAAGGCAGAAAAAAGGACUUCACCUUGGACUUUUUGGGCAGAACUUCAAAAGUCCUUGGUUGUGUUGUGUGGUUAUUUAUUUUGAUGUUAUGUGUUGGGAUGUUUUGUGUAGUGGCGUAGUUUUAGUAUAGUGUCUUGUGAUGUGUUGUUUUCUUCUGUGUGUUGUGUUGUCGUGUGUGUGUUUGUGUUGUGAUGUGUUGUGUUGUGUCACGUUCUUUUGCGUGACCUCUUUACUUGAUUCAUUCACUUAGUGGGUAAGUGAAUCUAAAGGUGAGUGUGGUUCCUCCAGAGUCAUUGUUAACAUGAAACAAAGUCAGUGUAGGACCCAUUUUCUUUUUGUUUGUUUUUUUAGGAAAAGGACCUCAAUUGAGAAGAAACCCCCAGAAGAGCCGAGCACGAGACAGAAGACGCAGGAGGACCAAACAUACGAGAGACAGGCCCAUGAAGAGAGAGACGAAGAAAAGAUGAAUGAUGGAUGUACUGUGUGUUUCUGGGAAUUUGAAGGUAAAUAACUCUAUAACUACUUAAAAGGUUCGGCUUUUAGGAAAAAAAUAGACAAUUUUAACUGAAGGGCUGAAAUUCAUGUUUGUUUCAGGUAACUUCAAAGAGUCAAAUGCCUAAAAUGACUCCAGAGGAGGCCAAAGAUGACGACCAACUCGGUGAUGCAGAAUGAGAUUGGAUGAACAAGACAACACGGAGAAGUAAAGUAAGUAAAGUUUGAUGAAUGUGUCAUGUUUCAUUAAACUGUUGUCUUUGUGUGCUGCUCUAUUGACCUGCAUUUUCUUCAUCUUUCAUCUCCUUAUAUUUAUCUCUAUACAAUAGACACACACAAGGAUGAGAGUGAAGAUGAUGAGCAGCCGAAAGAAGAAGAUAAGAUGAGAACAGCAGCAAAGAUGGUGAACAUGAACAAGAGUUUCAGGGCAUGAAGGUACACUGACUGCAUCCUUUGUUCUUUUCUUUCAGAAUGUAAUCACUUCUUAAAGAUUGGUCUCUACAUACUUUGGUGGAUAUCUGUUAAAAGAUAUUGUAUUUUAAUAUUUUUGUCUUUUCAUUAUAGUUGAACAAGUGUAAGAGUGGCCUCCAAACAGCAGUUAUCCAGCUGGUGACUGAAAAGGACAGAAGAAACUCUGGAAGGAGAGCAGCCAUGUUGACACGGAGGCUGCACCACAUUUUGCACAUCCAAAUAAAUUGUGACAUUUUAGUUUAAACCAUGUCUUAAGUUGUGUUUUCGAAAGAUGAAAGUUCUUGAAUCCUUUGCACACACUUACAGCCUGUCUCCUUACAGCAUUUUAAAUUAUUUGUAUAGCGACUAUCCUGGCAACAUUUUAGCCACUCGGCUGGGUGUUGGGAUGGGACAAUGUUUUUGACGCGCUGUGCGUGAUGAAUGGAUGAAGGGAUGAUUGUCCGAUCCGUACUUACUUUUGGGUGACGUUCCCAUUUAUUUUCAACAUUACAAAAGACAGGUUAUUUUAGCGAUGCAGUGGUGAUGUGUUAGGCUACAGACUGUGACUUUACUGAAGUGAAGUUAAGCAGAACGGAGAGCUGUGGACCGGCAUAGCGUGCAGUAAAAACCGUGUAGUCUCCCCACCACCCAUGCCUCCUGACUGCCAACACACCUGUGUCUUAAUUACUUCCUCCAUUACCAGACACCUACAAUCACACUAGCCAACACCGCAACCCAGUGACCACUUCAACUAACUAACAACCAGACAGAAAAUAGACAAUGGCUCCUAUAAUUUGUAUUGAAUAUCAUACAAUAUGUGCAGAGAAGAAGAAAAGAAGAGUUCAGAAAAACACAAGAUUUGUAAAAUAUUAAGACUGAUGAGGCUGUAAAACCAAGUUCUUAAAUACAAACUGAUUUAUUCUCAAGUGGUUUGUUACAGCCACUAGAGGACGCUUUAUGUUUAGUGCUGAUUAUGCUUUUAAACAGUCUUUAUUAUUAUGUCAGCACUGUGGGUCAGCUCAGGUGAAAAUAAAAACUCGUCAUAGUUCUCAGGUGUGUUAGGGGUUAAAAAAAACUGUGGCUGAAACCACAACAGGAGUUACUAAAAGAAAGAAAGAAAGAAAGAAAGAAAGAAAGAAAGAAUGAAAAGAUAAAAGAAGGAAGGGAGGACAGAUGGCUGGAAGGAAGGGGGGUAAAAAAAAAA